This is a long non-coding RNA of Haliotis rufescens (red abalone), 1954 nucleotides long. RefSeq lists it as uncharacterized. Lineage: Eukaryota; Metazoa; Mollusca; Gastropoda; Lepetellida; Haliotidae. The record is from RefSeq and is a predicted model, not a curated record. The transcript is spliced from 3 exons.
AUGUAUCAGGACGAGGGCAAGUGACUGGGGAACUCGGGGCCACCAAUCAGCUCUAUUACUCCCCAGGAAGGGUUCCAUUAUCAGAUAUACACAAAGUGCUCAAAAGUCACGCCUCCGAUUUCAAAUAAAGCAAGCUAGUGUCACUUUGCGAACAGGAUCCCAAUUUUCUCAUGGCAUGCUGGAAGCACAACCAAUGUUGACAUUAUUUUACUCAGUCCUGAGUUCAUUGUCAGCAAAGCAGUUAACCUACAAGUAAUGACAAACAGUCAAUACCUUCACGGCUCGGGUACAAAUGGUGGAGAGUCUUGGAAACUGCUUCCCAUCAACUGACUGGCUUGCACUAACAUGUGAUUGAACAUGCAACCUUCGUAUCUGUCUCCCAGUGAGUGUACCACUUGGCUACAGAGGCUCUGAGAAAUCACAAUGCUUUUUAGAAUGUUUUGUUCAAGUACCGUACGCCAGCAACAGUUAUUUCAUGCUUGUUUCCUAAGAUUCAGGGAAAUGCCUAUGACGCAAGCCUGACUGAUCCUCACAAUCAUCUCUUUCAUCCAACACGAGGUACACAGGCCCCCUUCUGACCCGGAAAAUAAACGUCAUCAGUUCCCCGAAAAUCAGUUGUCAAAAGCUAAUACUGGACCAUCAUACUUCCUGUGUAUUAUUCCCCCAACUCAAUAAACACCAACAAUAAUCAAACAUUAUUAUUAUAUUGUUUUGGUAUCUACCCAAGGGGCUAACUAUACAAGGUUAAUGGAUGCAUGUGUACUACAACUGGAGCGUUCAAGCAUGGCCGAUACAGAGCUGGAGUAGACUCGGUGACACCGGAUGUCGCCAUGCAUGGUUACCCAACAGUAUCAGCUAGUAUUCAGGAGAAAUCAGUUGUAUUCUUGGUGAUGGUGAUAGUCUUGACUAACAUAUAGUCCCAGAAAUAUAGUUAUCUUACUUCACAAUAUAUAUCUAAAAUAAAAUAUUUAAAAAAUUCCCAAUCGAGUCCAGAACAAUGCUUACUUGAGGCAAUCUACACUUGCCCAAUCAUUCUAGACUUGAGUUAGACUCCUUUUUCAAUUUAUUCUCUUGGGUGUGGGCGACUGACUAGUGAUAGUCCACCAUUGCUGCAAUAGUAGUUACUAGUUAUGAAACCUAAUUAUCAGGCCGUGACAAAUGCUUUUGAGUUUUCUAACCCGAAUUUGACUCUAAAUUGUAUCAUUUUUUUCAGUAGAAUUUAGUGUUAUUAUUUGUGAAAUUAUUAGCUGAGCUUACUAGACCAAACAAAAUGUUACUAGCCUCGGACUUCAGACUAGUGGUUGAGAUUACUGACUGCAUUAUUCUGUUUCAUUGAUGACUGAUGGUUUGUUUAAGCUUCCAAGCAAGGAAACGAUCAUGGAAUCUCAGAUCAAUAAGUUUACAAUCCUGUUAUUUCAUUCAAAAGAAUUUGUAGGGAUAGAGUUUGAUAGUGGAGGAGGUUUCAAUGCCAGAUAAUGUUGCAAGUUUUCAAAGAAAUGAUUGUGUAAUAGAGCAUAACAUCUCAGCUGCUAUUUUCUUUGUAAUUUGCAUGAAGAAAGAGAACUCAAAAGAUGCUUUUUUACAUAAAUUCAUGAAUGAUCAUUAAUUGAUCAGUGACUGCUUUUACAAACCAACGAUCAAUCUUGAUUUUUUUAAACCAAUUCCAAAGACAACUGACAGUGCAAAAUUCAGCAGAGGUUAGAUACUCGUUAUAUAAUAGGGUUAGCUCAACAAUCUCAUUUAUCAGAGUUGAUCGAGUAUAUUUUUACACACCACUGUCGUCCAUAUCUUGCUGGGGACAAGAAAAAUAAGUUUGACAGUAUUCGAAAUCGAAGGGGGUCCGGGGGUCCUGGGGUCCUUGAUGUUUGCUCCCAUAGUACUUGAGUCCAUGGAUCCCCUAAAAGUUUACCUCUAUAUUAGGGUGAUGACAUGGACCCUUAACAUCCAUACCUAU